Macaca fascicularis (crab-eating macaque) is the source of this 1648-nucleotide long non-coding RNA. The record is from Ensembl. Lineage: Eukaryota; Metazoa; Chordata; Mammalia; Primates; Cercopithecidae.
UUUUUUUUUUUUUUUUUUGGCAGAGUCUUGCUCUGUUACCCAGGCUGAUCUCAAGUCUCUGUGACCUCCACCUCCCAAGUUCAAGCAAUUCUCCUGACUCAGCCUCCUGAGUAGCUGGGAUUACAGGCACGAGCCACCAUGCCUGGCUAAUCUGUGUGUUUUUACUAGAGAUGGGGUUUGGCCAUGUUGGCCAGGCUGGUCUCGAACUCCUAGCUUCAAGUGAUCCACCUGCCUUGGCUUCCCAGAGUGCUAGGAUUACAGGCGUGAGCCAUCGCACCUGGCCGCAAUUUCUUCAAAGUCUUCUAUUUCACUCUUCUGAAUCCAACGAAGUUUAGCCAGGGAUAAGGCCAAGCAUCUAAGGCAAUACUUCCUUUAACCUUUACUACCCCAUGCAGAAGGUAGUCUUGUUACCCUCACUUUACAGAUGAGUAACUGAGUCACAGAAGUCUUUGCCUAAGGUCAUAGCCCUGGGACAUGGCAGAGCUGAGACUUAAACCUGGGCCCUGAAAUACUACUUGGAAUCCCAUGCCCAAUGCAGCCUCCUCCUCCACAAACAAGCUGUGUUUCUACUAAUAUGAAAAUCGUUCUUCCAGGAAAAUGGCACACGCUGCCCCAGUGGCAUGAAGGAGGAGCCCAGGCCUAGGGAUAUUGGAGAAAAACUGUCCCCAUAAGGAGGGGAGAAGAUAAUAUUACUUUUAAUAUUGCAGAAGAUGUACACCCCCCUUAUGAUAUUUUUCCUAAUAUCUGGGGGAAGGGGGAAGAGGAUGAUAUCACCCCUAAUACUGCAGUGGGUGUACACCCCUUCUGUGAUAUUGUUUCAAAUAUCCAAGCACGGGGAAGGUGACAUUACUCCCAAUAUCACAGGGAGUGAAAGGAUGAUAUUACUCCUAAUAUCGCAGUGGGGGUUCACCCACCCUAUGAUAUUGUUCCUAAUAUCCGGGAAUGACAGGAUGAUAUUACUCCCAAUAUCAUAGGGGCUGUAUACCCCUCCUGUGAAAUUGUUCCUAAUAUCCAUGGGGGGAGAGGAUGAUAUUACUACCAAUAGUGCAGAGGAUGUACACCCCUGCUGUGAUAUUGUUCCUAAUAUUGAGAGAGGGAGAGGAUGAUAGUACUCUCAAUAUCGCUGAAGGUGUACACCUCCCCUGUGACAUUGUUCCUAAUAUCCAGAGGGAAGAGGAUGAUAUCACUCCCAAUAUCGUAGGAGCUGUACAACCCCCUGUGAUAUUGUUUUAAAAUCCAGGGGGUGAGAAGAUGAUGUUACUCCCAAUAUUGCAGGGGGUGUACACCCCCACUGUGAUAUUGUUCCUAAUAUCCAGGGGGGAGAGGAUGAUUUUGUUCCCAAUAUCACAGGGGGUGUAACCCCUACGGUGAUACUGUUUCUAAUAUCCAGGUGAAUAGGAUGAUAUUACUCCCAGUAUCACGGGAUAUUUACACUCCCACUGUGAUAUUGUUCCUAAUUUCUUCUUUUUUUAAUUGUUCCUAAUUUCAAGGCGGGGAGAGGAUGAUAUUACUCCCACUACUGCAGCAGGAGUACAUCUGCCAUAUAUAUUGCUUCUAAAUCCGGGGGGUGAGAAGAUGAUAUUACUCCCAAUAUUGCACAGGGUGUACACCCCCACCAUGAUAUUGUUCCUAAUAUUUAGUGAGGGAA